RNAcentral lists this transfer RNA (73 nucleotides) under Culex quinquefasciatus (southern house mosquito). RNAcentral describes it as "tRNA-Thr". The record is from RNAcentral. Lineage: Eukaryota; Metazoa; Arthropoda; Insecta; Diptera; Culicidae.
GCAGUGCGUGGCCGAAUGGUUACGCUGUCCGCUUUGUAAGCGCAUGAUUCUGGGUUCGAUCCCAUCUGCUGCA